RNAcentral lists this unclassified non-coding RNA (348 nucleotides) under soil metagenome. Its description in RNAcentral is "partial contains 5.8S ribosomal RNA, internal transcribed spacer 2, and large subunit ribosomal RNA". The stretch from base 1 to 120 matches the Rfam family "5.8S ribosomal RNA", at positions 35 to 154 of the family's 154-position model. The record is from RNAcentral.
GAUGAAGAACGCAGCGAAAUGCGAUAAGUAAUGUGAAUUGCAGAAUUCAGUGAAUCAUCGAAUCUUUGAACGCACAUUGCGCCCGCCAGUAUUCUGGCGGGCAUGCCUGUCCGAGCGUCAUUUCAACCCUCGAACCCCUCCGGGGGGUCGGCGUUGGGGAUCGGCCCUCCCUUAGCGGGUGGCCGUCUCCGAAAUACAGUGGCGGUCUCGCCGCAGCCUCUCCUGCGCAGUAGUUUGCACACUCGCAUCGGGAGCGCGGCGCGUCCACAGCCGUUAAACACCCAACUUCUGAAAUGUUGACCUCGGAUCAGGUAGGAAUACCCGCUGAACUUAAGCAUAUCAAUAAGA